Numida meleagris (helmeted guineafowl) is the source of this 17211-nucleotide long non-coding RNA. RefSeq lists it as uncharacterized. The record is from RefSeq and is a predicted model, not a curated record. The transcript is spliced from 3 exons. Lineage: Eukaryota; Metazoa; Chordata; Aves; Galliformes; Numididae.
UCCAGUGCCCAGCCAUUCUUUUGGAGAAGAAGUUUUUCCUAAUAUCCAACCAUAUGCCUUCUUUUUCUCAGAGGGGACACGCGUUGUCUCUCUUUCUCUUCUUUACACUUUCUUUACGCAAAACAUCUUGAAACUCGAGAACUUUGGAGAUGGCUGAUUUUCUGUCGGAUUAACUGGAAAUUGGUGAAGGCACUCCAAAACCUUGAGGAAAAGCAGGCAGCCCAUCAGACAAAGGCACGCUCCCUCCCAUGUACUCAGAAAACCAUUGUACCAACCUCAUCUUCUCAUGAUGCAGCAAAUCACUCCCACCUCCAUCAAACCCUGGCAGCAAAGAGAAACUGUGGCCAUCAGGCCAGUAGCAUAUUUCUCUGCAGUGGAGUUUUUGUGGUCAUGUUUUCCUUUGCAAUAUCCUAUUUCUGCAGAAGAAAGAACAGGUGAUGCUGAUUGAUUUUCUGUAGUUCCUUUUGUGCUUGCCUCGGGAUGGUGGUGAUUCCUGUUGAAAAGGAAUCCAUACAAACAAUUGCCUGUUGUGAAUGGUGUGGAUAGGGGAUGCUGUGGAUGCCUGUGAUCUCCAUCGUGGCACAAGGGAAAACAGAGAACCUUGUGAAGAGGUUUAGGAUCUCUACGGCAUGUCCUCAUGUACAGCUGGCUAUGUCUUGAUGGAGAGGUGGGUUCAUGUGCAUAUAAUUUGGCUGGCUUAGAUAGCAGGGAGGGUCAGGGUUCUUGGCUGGUGAUCUAUCUCAUGGAUGGAAAAAGCCACAGGGACUUCUUGUCCCCACAGCUCUCUCCUUCUCCUGUGUGGAGCAGCCUCAUUCCAAGGGGAACAGGGGGCUCACGAAGCACCACAACUCAGUGUUACCUGUACCACUUUGACCCAGUUGUGUUGUGGACCACUCUGUGAGAUCCCUUUUGGAGCGUGAAGAUACGGGUUGUGCUUUGUCCCCCACAGGUCCUCUCCAUCCAGGGCUCAGGAAAAGAUGAGCAAGCCGUGGGCUCUCCCUCCUGGGCCUCCUGUAUGUCUGUGGGUGAGUCUGAUGUUGAGAGCAGGGUUUUUCUCAGUUGGCAGGAGAGGCUUUGGGAAACCCAGUCCAUCCCCCAGUUUCAGCAAGAGCUGAGUAAAACAAUGGAAAUGGAGUCAGCAGAUGCACGAACAAGGUUCUGAGAAGUGAUGGCUUAUCUGUAGAGAGGACGGGAAAGCCAUGUCCUGCAUUCCACAUGCUCUGUCCCCUCUUGCCCUUCAUCCUUGAUACAUAUUUGAUACCAUAAACCUUCCAAUACAUCCUCUUAUUGUGCAUCCACAGUUUGCUUAGGUACUGUGGACCUCAGAAUUACCUGUGGCUCCCAUGCUCCACCAUAAUAAGGCAAUGAAUAGCAGGUACAUCAAAGGAGCAUUGUAGGACUGUGUCUUGCCAUAGCAGAGAGCUGUGAGCUUCUGAUUAUGGCCUGAGAAAGGACUGCAAAUGGCAUCUCUCUGUGGGGUGGGAAUUAGUCCCAUCUCCCUUUUGGAUCUGGAGUCUUUGCACAUAGACUCUUGAAAUGUGAAGAAUCUGCAUGCUCCCCACAGGGCUGCCUUCAUGUCAGUGCCUAAUUAUUUUCUUGGCAGAGACCUUGUCCAUAUGGCACGGAAAAUAUGGAUUGCAAGGGGAAGCAGAGAGCUGGGAUUGUUCUGCUGCUCUAUAAGUGAAUGGAGUAACAGAUUGUUAGCAAGGGUUGUCUUGUGCUGGUCUUCCCAUUUCCUCUGGGUUAGGAUUAGCCAGGGAAGACCCUCUGAUAGCAGUGGGUGCUUUGAGAAGGUACAUGACCCUCACAGUGCAGAUGGAGGCAGGGAAACUUAGGACUGGAGAUUGAAACUUGGAAAGGUGCAUCACAGAAUUCAGUCCCUUGCUUUCACAGAGAGCUUUUCAGCUGGGUCCCAGUGCACAGAACAUUUACUCUUUAUUGUCCUGAAUCACCAAACAUCGACCAUAAUGUGCAAGGAUAAAGGAGACUGCGACACUGCCUUAGUUUCUCAAGGUUCCCACAUCAGCAGAAUGUGCCUUGUGCCUCUGGAGAAAACGUGCUCUUGGAGAAGCCUGCUGCACAAAUGCUCUGGCUUUGGAGGGCUCCCAUAGGAGCACCAGCAGCCUGAUCCUGCUUGGGGUGCCUGCUGGAACACAACCACCGUGACCCUGGGAUAAAAGCAAGGAGUUUGGUGUCUCAGUCCAGCUGGAAAUAGGAAGAUUCUCCAUAAUGCCAUGGCUGGUCCCAGGUAGGUUGGGAAGCUACCUAGGGGUGUCAGUGUAGCCUGGGGUAGAAGGAGAGGGUUCCUCUCUCCAUAGACCAGUGGGGGAAGUGUAACUGCUCGAUCCUUCUGCAGCUGGGGACUGUCCUUGACCCAGUGUAGGAGACAGAGGGUCUGGCUGGACUGGAUUUCAGCAUGAUGGGACCUUUUGGUUGCUCCCCAAGCUGUCUUCUCUGGAGCUUUAUGGAGGAGUCCACCGUGCUGGACGUGAUCCGUUGAGCUGCCAAAUCCAAAACCUGGUUCCAGAGAACAGAAAUAAACUCCAGGGGUGGGAAUCUUCCCCAGGAGGAGGAAGGAGACAACCAGAUGGGCUUUUGGAGCUCUCUUCCUUCCUUUAUUUUUAUAAACAUAAAAAGAAGUUGCACAAGGCCAAGGGUUUAUAGGCAGUCUUGGAAGAGCUGAUAUCCCUUGUUUGGGGGGAGUUUUGGUAUUGCAGUUGUUACUCAGUGGGAGACAUUCCCAUAAAGCUCCCCUGGACUUGGACAUGGAUAUCAUUAAAGCAGGUGUCCAUUUUUAAGAGAUUCUGGAGCUCUGAUGUUUCUUUUAUGUCCAAACUGAGCGUAAAAUUGUCAGUCAGGCUCUUAUGGGUUGUCCAGCUCCAAUGGGCAGUGCUUUCCUGGGGGAUAAAUGCAGGGAAAGCUGAAAUUCCACACUAUUUAGUAAAAAGGGAUGGAAGGAAACUCCUUCUGACUCCAAAAUAAAUCUCCAGCUCUACACAAACAAUCACAAUCCUCCCUCAACUCUUUGCAUCCUCUGGGCAAAGCUUCUUCAGGCAAAGAGGCCAUCAACUGUUCAACUGUUUUUUUAAUGCUUGAUUUAGAGUAAACAGUAAUGGGUCAUUGCAUCCCCAGGAGAGGACUAUCUGUUCUUUGUGCACCUCCCUCCUUCCUUACAUGAUCCCUGAAGGAGCCACGUUGAAGCAUAGACCAGAUCCAAGUGUUGCGGGAGAAGAAGACCCGUUUUUCGGGGCAGGGACCCAGCAGGGCAAUUUGUUGUUCAGUCCGUAUUUCACUUUGCAUGGACUGCCACAUGACAGCCCCAUCAUAAUAUUUGUGAGGAAUCACUUCCUGAGCAUCUUGUGUUACACUAACAUCAACGCUUUAGAGUUGCAAAGGGAGAGCAGGGGUUACGUGAUGCUAGCUGUAGGUCGGAAAACAGAACAAUCUGAAUUCCUCAUUUUUUCAUUAAAAAAACGCAAUGAUUUACAGUUAAAAGACUGUUUUAUUAUUGUGGGGGAUUGGGAGAGGAGGACUAGCAUGCUUUGAGGCAAAAAGACUGGUGUUCAUAGCUCUUUGCUCACUUGGAUCUUGAUAUGGCUCUUAGACAAAGGCAAUGGGUGGACCUUGUCCUGCGAACUGGGAAGAGUUUUGCUCAGGUGGUCUCUGUUGAAGCCAGGAGUGCUCCACCACUCACACAGUGGUACAUUCACAGCUGUUUAGAUUCUCUCUAACUCUAGUCUCAUCUCUUCUGUGAAAGGUAGGAGCUGUCUGCCCAAAUGCAGGUGUCUUCAGUAUCAUGAUUGACACCUGAGUUCAUCAUCUAGCUGCCUGUUAAAGUCAGUGGAGAGGAUCAUAGAAUCAUAGAGUCAUUAACAUUGGAAAAGACCUCUACGAUUCCCAAGUCCAACCCUAACCAACCCCCACGAUGCCUGCUGAUCAUGUCCCUCAGUGCCACAUCUGCAUGGUUCUUGAACACCUCCAGGGGCAGUGACCCCCUUAUUUCUCUGGGCAACCUGUGCCAGUGCCUGACCGCUCUUUCCAAGAAGAAAUUUUCCCUAGUAUCCAACCUGGAAAUAUUUCUACGUUACUGAAGUGAGGUCUAACAAGAAGGUGAGAGGAAAACACCCCAAGCUUGCUGUAUGGAUAUAUUUUUCCCUUCUAUAAAAUGUGGAAGGUCAUUCUUCCACAGUCUGGGCUGUGAUAAACUAGUGGAGCCAAAGGGCACAUCCCUUUGGGUUGCCUUCAAGAUUUUGGUUAUCUAAUCAAUUUCUAAAUAUAUCAUGCAUUGAGCAGACUGUGCUUCCAGUGUACAAUUUCUUCACUUUCUCCUAUUAUCUUCCAUUUUUCUCUCUACAUUGUAGCUUGACUUAGCCCCACUAGAGGAACAAAGGAACUCACUUUGGGAGGGCCCUUUGAGUAUGGGCAUACUAGAGACUAAUCUCUCAAUUUCCAUUUUUUCCAUCAUUCCCAUGGGGCAGAGGACAGUAGGUGGCAGGACUCUUGGCUUUUCCUCUGCUCCCUGUCACAAGAUCAUGGAAAUAACGUAACCUCAAUUUUCUUAUCUGCCGCAUAGUAAAGAUAGCGUGUCUUUACCCGGGGUUAGCGGCAGUUCUAACGAAUGUUUGUGUGGUGUUUGGAGAUAUUUGGAUGAAAGGCACUACAGAGUUAUUAAGUAGUCGUGUUAUUUAUUGUGCUUUCCCAAGUGGAUCUCCUUAGCAAUGUAGUAUGUAAGCAGUGCUACUAUAGCACCCACAUUGACACGCAACCUAUUGCCCUUCCAGUAUCUCUCAGGAACCAAGUAUCUUCCAUGUAACUUCACAGCACUGCAGGUAGAACACUCGUGGUUACCUUGCUUUAUAAAACACAUUCACCUGCUUUUUCACUGAUUUUACCCCAGUAUAUCCUUUAAAAUGGCAUUCUGUUGAGCUGCACUUUUGGAAUUGGAAAAGACUCAUCUGUCUAAUGCUCUUGAGUGCUGUGCUGUAACUUCUCAAGGGCAGCAGGCAGUAGAGAAGAUACCUUUUUUUUUUACAGUUUUCUUUUUGGAAUGUUUUUUUUUUUGUCUCAUUUACGUUCAUUCUUUCAUUACUUUUAUAUUUCGUAUAAGACAGAAACAGACAGUCAAUGAGGAAAAUCAUUUAAAUUGGCAACAAAGUCUAAAUUCAGAGUAGUUAUGUCCUAGAUAUGCUCCUGAUGACGUCAACAAGAAAUGCACACCCACAGCCUAGAGGAACGUGCCCUACAUUUCUGGACAGAUGUCCCCUCUAGGAGGGGUGGUCAUUUUGAACGCACAAGGUGGUACUGAUUACUCUGGCCUCCAUGCUGGGCCUGGGGAUCGCAGCAAAACAACCAGAAAACAUGUCAGAAUCUACUUUCUGGAAGAAUUUGAAAUUGGUUAUUAGGAAAAACUUAUUCUCCAAAAGAGUGGUGAUGCAUUGGCACAGGCUGCCCAGGGAGGUGGGGGAGUCCCCGUCCCUGGAGGUGCUCAAGAACCGUGGGGAUGUGGCACUGAGAGACAUGGAGGGACAUGAGGAUGGGGUUGGACUUGGGGAUCUUGGGGAUCUUUUCCAACCGUAAUGAUUCCAAGAUAGUAAGAAUUUCUAAUAAUUUUGACUCAGAUAUUUCUAGGCCAGAAAUACCGGAGGGAAUCACCUUUCUUGCAGUUUCAGCUGUUUAAGAUCCAUGCAGAAACUGGGAGAACAAAGAUUGGCAACAGGAACAGUCUGUUAUUUAUAGAUUUAUGUCUCAAAGUUGAUUGCUCGCCAAACUGAUUUAUUUUGGGGUAUUCUGUUGUUUUCUGUUACACCUCCAGAAUUCCCUGUUUCUUCUUGCACAUCUCCUCUCCUGUGAUUUUCUAUGUAGGAGACUUGCCAUGUAAAAAAUCAGCUAAUAGGAUAAUAAUUGUUAAGAAGAAAUUAGUUAUUUAAACUGACAUCACUCCUUCCUCUCGAUCUUCAUUUUAACACAGAAAUAGGAACAUAAUUUCUUUGGAGACGUUCAGCUUUCUGUCAAAGAGAGUUUAAAAAUCAACAGGUGGACAAAGUCUAUGGGGGACAGAUAGAUGACAGGCUGAAUGGCCACAUAAAUCUAAUUUCCAGGGAAAAAAAAAAUGUUAUAUAAUACAAUCGUAAAGUGAACUCAUGAGUGGCUCACCCCUUGUAUUUCCUGUACUGAAAGGAGGAGAAGUGAAUUGUGGAAAACCUUACACCAGGUCUGAAUUCGGAGGUUUGAGGCUGUCUUUAAAAUGAAUGUAAUUUAAGAAAAGAAAGAAAAAGAAUGAAGAAAGAGUAAAAAAGAGAAAAGUAGUGAUUAGGCAUAUCAUUCAAUGCAAUUCCUUUAGUGCCAAGUGUAUCAAAUCCAUCCAUCAUGUGCUCAUCACUGGAAGAAAUUUGAAUGAGUUGUCCAAGUGGUGAGGGAAGGGAGGAUAUUAAUCAUCAGGAUUUUAGUAAAUAUUCUAACACAAAGGAAUAGUGGCCCCAGUGCAGAGCAGAAGUGAUCCUGGCAGAAGAUACCAGCAGUGUUUAGCUUACACAGUGUGAUUUUCACACGGGGUCAAUGUUUUUGCGAGUCUGGGGCUGGGGCAUGGCAUGGAAACCAACAGUACUGAUGUUUUAGUGCCCAAUAAAAUGGGAAAAGACCUAAUUUGGGGUUUGCCCUCUGUCCUGUAAGACCAGGGUGAGUUACCAUAGGCCACUUCCUUCUGAGGAGGAAGAUAUCAGGCUAGGGGGUCAGUGUGGGGAGAUGGGCCAGGUAAUACUGCAGAGAAGAGAGAGUUGAGACCUUUGGGUUAGGGUUAGAAGAGCACUGGGUGAUGUGACUUAGUGAUAUGGCGAUGAUGGCUCAGUGGUUGGACAAGAUGAUCUUAGUGGCCUUUCCAACCUUAAUGAUUCUAUGCAGAGGAGACGUGGGGUGAACCCAGGAGACCUUAAAGGACAUGGAAUUUCAGCCCAAUCGUGACCCCUUGCAGGUGUUUCAAACUUCUGAGGACCAAAUGUUUCAGAAGAAGAGGCAGAUCCCUGCAAGGAUUUGGUGUCUCCAGCCAAAUGUCCUAUCUCCUGGGACCACUGGCUUCAUCUGCACCCAUGGAAAAUGUGUUGGGUGCAGAGAGCUUUAUUUAGGUGCUCAGCAAGACAAUGUUUGGGCAGAUAGGAUUACCUCCUUGCUCCUGGUAUGUGAAGUUCAUCCCUUGUGUGGCACAUUUAUCACCCCCUCUUCCCUCUCAGAGGAGGAGGAAGGGAACAGUAGGAGGGAAAAGAAAGUGGAAGGCAGGAGAAGGGGAUCCAGACAAGGGAGGAGGUUGUGUGGGGCACAUCUUCCCAGCCUGAGUGAUUUAUUUUUCUUCUGGGAAGCACUGAAACUUCCAAGUCGAAAUUAAUGGGAGAAAAACACUUUCCAGGUGCUCAAAAGUGCUUAAGUACAAUAAAUCAAAGGGGUAGACUGAAAGAGGAAGCUCAUAGCUGAGGCAGAAGAGCAGACUCCUGGAGCUGUCUCCUUUGACAUGCUGGAUGCUCGGCCAAGGCAGGCGCUGUCCCAGCUCGUGCAGUGCAAUGGGAGCACUUCUUGGGCUGCACAGGGGGCUCUCUUGGGUUGCUCCAUCUUGACGGUGGAAGGCUCUGAUGUGGAAUGCUUGUUCACUGAAGCUCAGUGAAUGAGACAUGACACAUCUGGAGAAGGCCAGAGGGGUCAUGGGAAGGAUGGAGGGGAAAAGUCAGCAAAGGAAGAGUGAUGGAUCCACCAGUUCUCUCCUCGUUUUCACGCUGUGUCCCCAGCUCUCUGCUGGCCAAAUUGCAUUUACUCAGCUCUUCUGGAUGAGGGCAGAGCCCACCUCAGUGGGGAUGGUCCCUGAACGGAGAUCUGACUUCAGAAUUGUCCUCCUGAUGGUGAGGUGGAUGAGGAGCUGCUUUAAGCUGAGGCUUUCCACCCUUGUGCAGCCCCGUCCUGCCUCACUGAUGGACCCAUAUCAGGACACCUGUGGCUUCAUCCCACCUGGAAAGGACUUUUAAAGGUCAUCAAGCCUAACUCUUGUGCAGUGAACACCACUUUCUCAGUGGCUAUCAUCCCAACGAUAGUGGCUUUUCAUCAAUGAUUUUAUUUCCUUUUAUUAAGAAACUCGGUUUCUCAACAACAACUGGGAUUUCCAUUUGAAUCUGCGAUAUCAGUAUGGAAAACAGGUUGCCUGAAAACCUGGAAAAUGGAAGCAGCUAGGCUGUGCUUUGGGUGGAGAUCUGUCCCCAUCCUUUUCAUACAUCCCCGCCAUUUAUUUUUCCUUCUAUUGUGGUUACACCUAGCAACCUUUGGGGCAGUUCUGGCCUGCACUGUGCUAGGUGCUGUGCAAAUAUACAGGAGAAACCCAGCUUCGAGUCUGUUCUCUCUCCCAGGCUGUGUUGGGCUAGCCCUCGGUGCAUGGAUUAUCAAUUAGUCGACUUGCUGACAGCUCCAGUGCACAAUGAGUCAGUUCCCUACUUAAGAUGAGCCAUCAGUCAAUUAAACUAAUAGUGAAAAUCUCUGGGCAUAAGAAAGGAAACAUUUAUGAGCUAAUGUUAAGCAUGCGAGGGCUAAGGGAAAUAAAAGCCCUCUACAAUUAUGACAGGGGAAAAUGAGAACGUAGGCUCAUUAAUAAACAAAGAGCAGGAUGUAAUUAAUAAAUGCCUCUAAACCUGCCAGAAUAUGGAAUUCCUUUCUAAAUAUGUCAUUAGCAAGAAAAAUAAAGAGGAAAAAUUAAGCUGAUAAGGAUGGGCUUGGAAACUUUGAACAUAUACAAAUCACAGGAUCUGCCUGACAUUUCUCCUGCUUGUUGAAGGGAUUUAGCGAAGGAGUUAAGAAAUCACUGCAGAAUGGUGGAAAUAUGGCCAUGGGAUGUGAAAGCAAAAGGUUGUAGCCUGUUUUUAUAUAUAUGUGGCAGAUGUUGUCCUCUGUGCUGGUUGUGGUGCGAACACAGCACAGGGAGGUGGUCCUGGCCAGAGCCACAUCACUGUUUCUGGUCCCUGACAUGACAUUAGGGGGAAAUUUACAAUGUGCAAGAAAAAAAAAGAAGAAAAAAUAACUUCUUAUAACCUUAAAAAAAAAUAAAACAACAACAUAAAGCAUCCAUAUUGGGCAGAUUUAUGGUAGGGAAUAAUGACGCAUAGAAAGGAAGCACGUGAAAUGUCUUGCAGUUUAAAACUACUUCUAAGUAUCAGUAGGUCGGCCGCUUCACAACUUUUUCAUGUCUUGGGCCUCAUGUUUGCACCCACUUAUGGUGCCCCUUUGCUGCAGGGGCCCCAGAAGCUCUCACUUUAAUCUUGAGAUUCAACCUGGGGGGAUCCGACUGGCCCCAGAUGUCAAAGCACUUGAGUAGUGCCGUCACUUGAACUUGAGUUGCUCACGUGCUGUGAUGAAUUCGGGCUCUGGCCAAGAAAGAGGAAUGGUUUUGAGAAACGUGGAAAGGGCAGCAGAUGCAAAACCUGGCAUCGGAGGAUGCCUGAUGCUGACUGAGGGAUGACAGGCUUGGAAACCAAGAGGAGGAGACUUAGGGCAGAUGCUGCACAGAUGGGAGAAUCCAAGAAGAGCUGCCUGGGGAGGAAAGGAUGUGAUCAAAGCAAUACUCUCGCUGGAUGGAUAUCAGUGGGACGAGGUGGUGUUUAUCAAGAGCAGAGAAAAAGAGCUUGCUGUGCAAGGGUUGGGUUGUGCAGAUGGGUGGGAGAGGGCAGGCUGCAGGAGUGGUAUGUGUGAGGCAACCUGCCUGAACUAGGCAGACCUAGGGGUUGAUCUGACUCUCUCCUACCUAGCUUACUUAAAUCAAGCAGUCGUUUUUCCCCUGUGAAAGGCAUUCCCUUGUUUGAUCUUAAGUUAUCAGUCAGCACCUUGAAGAUCUGCAGUAAAAUUGCACGAUCCAUGAAGUUCACGUCUGGAUUGCAACUCUAUGCAUUUGCUGAUGGUUAUUGCUCUGCUUUAGUCCUUCAUGAUUUUUUUCUUGUUUUCUUUUUUCCUGGGAGUGGAGUCAGCCCUGCAACUGUCUUGUCCAGCUUUUUCCCUGUACACAACACAAGUGACAAUGUUUUGGCAACCGAUCUGGGAUAUUUUUUGUCUGCUUUCUUCUCUCUCCUUUCUGGACUUCAAUACGUGUUUUGAAUUUCUGAUGCAAAAUGCAGAAAGUAAAUAAAGAGACAACUUAGAUGAGCAAUAGACAGACCUAACAGAAGAUGGAGAAGAGAAACAGUAACAAAUAAACCUAAAUAAAGUGUCAAACUCUUAAUAAAUUAUGUCUGACCACCAGACGACUACGGCACAACAGCCAAAUUAACUGCCAUACCCUGAUGCUGAUAGUCUAGAUAAAAUAUUAAAACAAAUCUGGACCAAAGAGAGCCUCUCAGCAAUGGUACAGCAGUUUGCUUUCUAGCUGAGGUAAAAAUAACAUGUAAUCAUUUAAUACAAUUUCUUCAAAUAAACUUUAUUUGGAGAUAAUGACUUCCAGAUGGGUGAAGGUUUAUAAACAUCUCUGCCACAAGAUAAAUUCCCACUGGGUAACGGGUGGGGUAAGAGAGUGAUUCAGUCACUGGGUCUGACGGGGAGGUUAGAUGUGAGCUCUAGCCCCAAAGCCAAGCAGCAAGAAAGGACUUCUGUCCAUCCUGUUGUUCCUUCUUGCUGCCCCAAACCACGUGGCUGUACCCAAACCGCCUGUUGGGAUUCAUAGAACCACAGAAUGGUUUGAGUUGGAAGGGACCCUUAAACGUCCCACUCCUUGACAUGAACAAGGACACCCACAGCUCGAUUGGGUGCUCAGAGCCCUGUCCUGACCUCAGAGCCUGACCUUGAAUGGAGCAUCCACCACCUCUCUGGGCAACCUGUGCCAGUGCCUCGCCACCCUUAUCGUAAAAAACUUUCUCCUUAUAUCCAGUCUGAAUUUUCCCUCUUUCAGUUUGAAACCAUUUCCCCUUGUCCUAUCACAACCAACCCAGACAGUCCCUGCCUUGUGCUACAAUCUCCUGAGCUGUGCCAUGAAGCAGUCCAAAAUGGUCCAGUCCAAAAUGGUGCCAAAAGCAUCCUACAAACAAAACCCUUUGGAGUGGGGAGCUCUGAUGCUGGGGAACAAUUCCAGUACAGAUACAUUCUAUGAUUGACUUUACAGAAGAACCCACAACCCUUUCUGUAUCAACCAAUACCCUUCUUGAAGCUAUUUGGGAAGCACAACCAAGCCUUCAGGGCUAGAUUAUCAUGUCCAGCUUUGCAAAUGUGUAAGCUCACAUAAAGCAUCAUCGCGGGUGUUCAUACUCAAAGCAAGAACCUGCUCAAGAUGUCUGUGCAGUUUCUCAACGAAUAGCCCAGCACCUUUUUGGAUGAAAUACUAGCCUGGAUCUCCUUGGAGCCAACACUGCUAGUCAGGCUGUCAGUGUCACACAUGUAUUUAAUUGCUUGGCUGGGUCGAGGCCCUGCAGAAUCAGGGCGAGGAAUGCGAAGGAAACAAUGGCACUUCGCGCUUAAUGUGGGGGAUUUUGUGUGUUAUUAAUUAUUUUUCGUUUUGCUGGUUUUGAGACAGAGGGCUGAAACAAAUCCAGGCAGAAAUCAGCCACAGUUAUUAGUGCCUCAAGUCUUUGUCUUGUAGGCUUCAAACUGGUUAAAACAACAGGGAAAAAAAGCUAGACACUUUUCAGAUGAAGGCCCCCAAGGUACGUGGGAUUUUAGAUAAAUGACCUGGUUUGGGUCCAGCAAUAAUUAUCUCCCUUUAAGUCCUUAGAUUUUUUUCCCCCCUUGUUUACAGGAGAUUGUUGGCUUGUUUCUUUUUGUCUCAGCUUUAUCCAUACCUCCCGCCACGACAAUGCCUCCGCGGAUCUGCUGAGAACGUAAUGAACCCACAGCUGAAAUCUGAACGUUUCAAGAGACUGUAGGAUUUUGUCAAGGAUCUGAUGGGAAGCUGGCAUGUUUCUAACUCAUCUUGAUUGUUUUUUCACCUGAUGGGUUGGCAGGGGAGUCAUCACCUCCCAGGAUUCCAUACCUGGGGCAAAUUUACCACUGCAGAGUGAAGGCCGGAGGAACCCCAGUCCCUAAGCCUCUCUUGCCCACAGAAGUCCUUUGCUCUGUUCCUUAUCAAAGGAACACAAUUAUUCAAUAGUUUGGGAACACAAGUCUUAUGAGGAGAAGCUGAAGGAACUGGGAUGGUUCAGUCUGGAGAAGAGGAGGCUCAGGGGAGACUUUAUGGCUCUCUCCAACUACUGAAGGGAGGUUGUGGCGAGGUGGGGGUCAGCCUCUUCUCUCAGGUAACAGCGACAGGAUGGGAAGCAUUGGCUUCAAGUUGGGAUGUUCAGGUUGAGUAUUAGGGAACAUUUCAUCUCAAAAAGAGUGGUAAUGCAUUGGGAUAGGUUCCCCUUGGAGGUGGUUCCAGAACCGUGGAGACAUGGCACUGCUGGACUUGGUUAGUGGGCAUGGUAGGAGUGGGUUGGGGUUGGACUGGUGAUCUUAGAGGUGAUCUUUCAAGUGUGUGGGAAAUCAUCAAAAUGGGAGAUAGGCUUUGGGAGGGCAUUUUAGGUCUGUGAAUUGAUGUAAAAUGUAGAUUUUGAGAUGGAGGAUUACUGGUUGAUUAUGUAUCUGUGUGUGCAGAGAUGGUAAUACCAAAUCUAUCUGAUUUGUCCUGGUUCUGAGCCACAGAUGCUGACACGGCUCAGACAUGACAUGGACCUUGCAGGAAAGGAAGUUAGAAGAAUGGUUGUUUAGAGUCAGUGACAUUUGGCUGCUUCAUGGCCAAAAAGCGUCCGUCCAAAGGCAGCUGCAGGCUUUUGGAAAUCUAAAGGGAGACUGAUUAAUCUUUUCUGAGAUUGAAUCCCCUUCUGCCCUGUUGCAGCUCCAAAGGCUGCAGGUUUGGAGCACCUAGAAUCACAGAAUCAGAAACGUUGGAAAAGACUGCUAGGAUCACCUAGUCCAACCAUCAGCUCAUCACCACCUUUCCCACCUAACAAAUAUCAGCCAUUUUCUCUUCCUUCUUAACUGAAGAGAUAAUAGAGGUUGGGCUAAUUCAUCUGGGGUGAGGUGGGAGACGUGUUCCAGCAGAAUGUCACCAAUAUUCAUUCUGACCCUGUAUUGAAAUUCAGUACCAUACACAGAUUUUCUCAGAAAUGUUAAUUCCUGACCGUAAGGACAGCCGUGGAUGAGGCUCAUUACUGGUUAGACACCAAUGUGUUUCUCAUCAGUUCAUAUUCCUCUCGCAUUUAACAACCGUCUAAAGCUAAACCUUGUGUGUUUUUGUCUCAAAUCUUCUGUGAGUGAAUCAGCCUCUUCUUUGCCAAGCUGGAUGCCAGGAUGUGGGCAGGUGAGAGAAGCCACAAGCCUAUCGCACUGCCCUUACACAAUACAUCCCAGCAACCCUAUGGAAGUCUUGCUCAACCAGCUCUGCAUGCCAAAAUCACACCAAGCAUCCUCCUUCACCCUCUGCUAACACGGCAGAUGCUUUUGGAUGCCUUCCCAGUCAAUUCUCAGAAGGCUGGAAAUCUCUGUUUCCCAUAUUGUCCCUACCCAACCCUCCCCCCCCCAAAAAAAAAAUAAACAUAUAUCAUCUGUGUUGGAGCAGAACACUGGAAGUGUGUAUGUCCUGUUAUAGAUUCAUGUUUACAUUAUUACUGGGAGCAGAUUAGGUGGUUUAACCUUCUUACAGUUCUUUACAGUUUUCAUGCAACCCUUAUGGUCUUGCAGGAUAGAAUCAUCACUGGGACUCCUGCUGAGAAGGAGAGGCAUCUUAGAGGGACUUCAAACCUCCCCUACUCUGUUGGGAUUUUGCAAGCCAAAGGUUAUUUAACUUCUACCCCAACAUGACAGGACAAGGAGAAAUGUUUUCAAAUUGCAAGAGGGAAGAUUUAGACUGGACAUAAGGAAGAAGUUCUUUUUGAUAAGAGUGGUAAGGAACUGGCAGAGAUUGCCCAGAGGGGUGGUGGAUGCCCCGUCCCUGGAGACACUCAAGGUCAGGCUGGACGGGCUCUGAGCACCUGGUGGAGCUGUGGAUGUCCCUGUUCAUUGAAGGGGAGUUAGACCAGAUGACCUUUCAACGUCCCUUCCAACUCAAACCAUUCUAUGAUUCUAUAGAUUCUUCUCUCCAUCUAAUUUCUCUUAGGUAUACAAUCCCAUCCUAUGCUGGCAUGGCAAGAGUGAGCAUUGAGAUUGAUUGCACUGCGCUGUUGCAAAGGCAUUGGAUGAAUUCUCUUCCAUGUGUCUUACGUCGCUCGCUGUCCACGUGAUGACAGCAAAGACAUUGCUUAGUAAAUAUACAGCCAGUAGAAGAAUUGAAUGAACCACAGAAUCACAGAAUCAUUAAGGUUGGAAAAGACCACCAAGGUCACCCGGUCCAACCCCAACCCAUCCCCACCAUGCCCACUGACCAUGUCCCUUGGUGCCACAUCUCCACGGUUCUGGAACACCUCCAGCGACAGUGACUCCACCACUUCCCUGGGCAGCCUGUGCCAGUGCCUGACCACUCUUUCUGAGAAGAAAUUUCAAGAACACCCUCAAUGAGUCUGGGCCAACGCUUCAGUGAUGCUGGAGUAUUCAGAUGCAUGAGUAUUUAGAUGAAUGUUCCAAUUGAAGGGGAGAGUCCUGUGGAGUUUUCUGCUUGCUAGUUUGGUUUUUCACCAGUGAUGCUGGUGAAACCACUAAGCCUUGAUGAUGAUCUUGGAAAAGGACUCGACUGAUUCGGUUUGUGCAAUAACCUUUCAACUGAGGAACUGGUGCAUCUCCCGCCUGCCAAGUCAAGCUUGUUACAGAGCAGAGCCUGUUGUGAUGUUGCAGGGAUGGAGGAAAGGGGGGUUAAACUCUCUGUCUGUGACCCUAGAGAGCUGGGGACAGGGGAAUUAUGCACUUUGCCUCUUUUGUUUUCACUGGAGAGGGUGGGAUUUGAUUUCAGCCUUGACACUCACUGUGCUACGAAAAGGUCAGAAAGUCACCAGCUUCACCACACUUCAGUGGGGACCAGGAGAAAAAAAAAUUACAUCUUCUGAGACAUAGAUCAGCAAUGUGAGAUCCACUGCGGGUGACAGAGCUGGCGGGAGGUGUAUGUGGCAGAGGCGGCAUGCCCAGGUCACGCUCCCAGCCUGGCUGCUACGGCUGUCAACGAAUCUUUGGGGAGCUCCAGCUCAUGUUACCCUCGGUAGGAGGAGAGAAUGACCUAUAACUGGAGGCUGACAAGGGCCCAUAAACUGUUUCUCCUGACAGCUUCCUGGAUCCAGUCCCUUGUCCUUUGGAACAAGGCAUUUUGAGGGGCAGCUCCUUCUUUAACCAAGUGCCCAGUGACUUUUUCCCAUUGUCUGGAAGAGGAAAGCACAAAAAAUGCUGAGUCUGCAGUGUUAGGACCUGCUGGAUUUUAUCCCAUCAGUGCUUUCCAUCAGAAAAUUCAACCAUGCCCAAAACAUCCCCUCAAACUCAACUUCAUUUGUUUUUGUUCUUCCUUCCUUCCUAACCCUUCCUUCCUUCCUAACCCUUCCUUCCUUCCUAACCCUUCCUUCCUUCCUAACCCUUCCUUCCUUCCUUCGUUCCUUCGUUCGUUCGUUCGUUCCUUCCUUCCUUCCUUCCUUCCUUCCCACAGCAGGCAAUCACCACAGGCUUUGGGAGGACAAGGAGAAGGAGUACACAGGGCAUUACCCCAGGCAUCCUGGCAAACCUUCCUUCUUCCUUACCAUUGUCAUGAUGAAAGGGGACAUGUCAGCCCUUGAAAAUGCAUGCUAAGCAAGAGAGAGGAGAGUUCUGGGAAAGCACUUCUUUUCUGCAAAAUUAGUUUUGCUGAGUUUACAAGGUGUCGAAGGCUAUUAAUGCUGAAUGCUUUGGUACCAUGAGACUGUAAACAAAGCUUCAAUGUGCCUUUCUACAGACCCAUUUAUCAGCCUCCAUCUUUUUCCCUCUGGCUUUUUUCCACUUUUUUUUUUUUUUUUUUCCCCUCUCUCAUUCUUUAGCUUUGUGUCCUGGAUUUAUUCCCAUUCUCGAGGUUGUCUUAUUAAUUUUCCUCUUUCUCAAGGAAAAAAACAGGCUUGUGGGCUGGAGACUUUACAACAUUCUCUCAUAGUCCUGGAUUUAAACCGCCUAGCCGGGGGUCUAUAAUGUACUGACAUGGAAAGACUAGACUUAUUAUUAAACUAAUAAUCUUGGAAUUUUUAUGAACUACAGAGCUCUGCGAUCAUUUCUAACCACAGGGCACGGGUUGCUGAGGUAUUAGCAACCAUUGGUGAAAAGCUACUGUGGCUGGACAUGCCAACUUUGUCAACACCUGGGAGCAGGGCUGCAGAGAUGAAUGAGCUGAGGAGGGAGGUGGGAAGAGAUGGGAUGCUCCUAACAGCCCCAAGUGGCUUUUGCCCACUUUUCUCCCAAAGAUGUAUAUCUGGUGCAUUAAUCAGGCUAUAGCCCCCAAACUAUAACUUGAGGUAUGAGAAGAUAACUUGAAUAAAAUGGGAUUACCGGGAUCUGGGAGUGCAAGUGUAUUCUUGCCUUAUUCUCCACUUUUGCCAGUGCUAGAUACCAAGUUAGAUGGAUUGCUAGCCCAGCCCAGAACAGCUGUUCUUGUUUUGUGUCAGACUGAGCUGGUUAGGACAGCUGAGACUGAGCUGAAGAUAGGAUGGUUUCUACACGACUCAUUUUAUCAUCUUUUCAUAGAAUUAUGGAAUCGUAGAGUCCUUAAGGUUGGAAAGACCAUGAAGAUCCCCAAGUCCAACCAUCAGUCCAUCCCCCCAUGCCCACUAACCACGUCCCUCAGUGCCACAUCCACGCUUUUCUUGAAAACCUCCAGGGACGGUGAAUCUACCGCUUUUCUCAUGAAGAAGACUAAAAGUUAGAUUUUUCAGAUGAUUUAGGGUUCUUGUCUUGAAAGUCUUAGAGGUAUUGAUCUUUUCAGAAUUUUAGUUGUGUUGCUUUCAGUUAAGAAUCCAUCUGACUUGGUAUCUAGCAGUACCUGCAGUACGUUCCAGCCAAUGCAACACAUGAAGAUGCCUUGCUGCUUAUGAAUAACUUGCCAAGCUCUUUACAUUUGGUGCAAAGUGUAUUCAGUCAGCAUUUAGAAACACUGCCCUGCUCACUUUGCCGGCCAGUAAAGUUAAAUCUCUUGGCUUGAUGCUGUUCGUUACACUCCCAGAACAUAAUUUCAAAUGGCCUGUGAAAUAUUUCACUUCAGGUUGGAUAUUUGGAAAAAUCUCUUCUCUGAAAGAGUAGUCAGGCAUUGGAACAGGCUGCCCAGGGAGGUGGUGGAGUCACCGUCCCUGGAGGUGCUCAGGA